UGAUAAAGCGAUUUGUCUGGUUAAUUCCGAUAACGAACGAGACUCUGGCCUAUUAAAUAGUUCGCCGAUUCCGAUCUGUCGGCGUUAACUUCUUAGAGGGACAAGUGGCUUUUAGCCACGCGAGAUUGAGCAAUAACA
This 138-nucleotide ribosomal RNA is filed under the name uncultured eukaryote. RNAcentral describes it as "partial 18S ribosomal RNA". It matches the Rfam family "Eukaryotic small subunit ribosomal RNA", at positions 1299 to 1458 of the family's 1831-position model. The record is from RNAcentral.